RNAcentral lists this non-coding RNA (605 nucleotides) under Clostridium tepidum. Its description in RNAcentral is "bacterial LSU rRNA". It matches the Rfam family "Bacterial large subunit ribosomal RNA", at positions 468 to 1072 of the family's 2925-position model. Lineage: Bacteria; Bacillati; Bacillota; Clostridia; Eubacteriales; Clostridiaceae. The record is from RNAcentral.
AAAUACUACCUAGUGACCGAUAGUGAAGCAGUACCGUGAGGGAAAGGUGAAAAGAACCCCGGGAGGGGAGUGAAAUAGAACCUGAAACCGUGUGCCUACAACCGAUCGGAGCACGUUAAAGUGUGACGAUGUGCUUUUUGUAGAACGAGCCAGCGAGUUACGCUAUGUAGCAAGGUUAAGUACUUAAGGUAUGGAGCCGAAGGGAAACCGAGUCUGAAAAGGGCGAAAAGUUGCAUAGUGUAGACCCGAAACCGGGUGACCUAUCCAUGGCCAGGUUGAAGCGAGAGUAAAAUCUCGUGGAGGACCGAACCACGUUGGUGUUGAAAAACCAUGGGAUGAGCUGUGGAUAGAGGAGAAAUUCCAAUCGAACUCGGAGAUAGCUGGUUCUCCCCGAAAUAGCUUUAGGGCUAGCGUCGUGUAAUUGAGUAAUGGAGGUAGAGCACUGAAUGGGCUAGGGGCUAUAGUAGUUACCGAACCCUAUCAAACUCCGAAUGCCAUAUACUUGUAUCACGGCAGUCAGACUGCGAAUGAUAAGAUCCGUAGUCAAAAGGGAAACAGCCCAGACCAUCAGCUAAGGUCCCAAAGUGUAAGUUAAGUGGAAAAGG